This 497-nucleotide ribosomal RNA is filed under the name uncultured bacterium. RNAcentral's name for it is "partial 16S ribosomal RNA". It matches the Rfam family "Bacterial small subunit ribosomal RNA", at positions 28 to 507 of the family's 1533-position model. The record is from RNAcentral.
GAUGAACGCUGGCGGCGUGCCUAAUACAUGCAAGUCGAGCGAACAGACGAGGAGCUUGCUCCUCUGACGUUAGCCGCGGACGGGUGAGUAACACGUGGAUAACCUACCUAUAAGACUGGGAUAACUUCGGGAAACCGGAGCUAAUACCGGAUAAUAUAUUGAACCGCAUGGUUCAAUAGUGAGAGACGGCUUUGCUGUCACUUAUCGAUGGAUCCGCGCCGCAUUAGCUAGUUGGUAAGGUAACGGCUUACCACGGCAACGAUGCGUAGCCGACCUGAGAGGGUGAUCGGCCACACUGGAACUGAGACACGGUCCAGACUCCUACGGGAGGCAGCAGUAGGGAAUCUUCCGCAAUGGGCGAAAGCCUGACGGAACAGCGCCGCGUGAGUGAUGAAGGUCUUCGGAUCGUAAAACUCUGUUAUUGGGGAAGAACAAAUGUGUAAGUAACUAUGCACGUCUUGACGGUACCUAAUCAGAAAGCCACGGCUAACUACGUG